UUUUUCUGCAACAAGACGCCUCUCUUGUUCUAUGUUUUGUCUCCACAAAUUACAAUAUCUGUCACUUUGCCUGCAAAACAAUUCAUCUUCUAUUUGCUCAAUGCUGAUCGAUAAGGGUUUCAUGGCAGUGGCUAUACAUCUCAAGAAGUGAGAAACUUCAUCUCUUUCUAUAAAUUUAUCUACAUGUGAUUUGUGACUAUUACUGUUAUAUGUCAUUAUUAUGAAUCUGCUUACUUAUUUAUGAAUCUUCUAGGGUUUUUUAUGACUUAAUUAGAAAUUUACAUUUACACGUGAAAAAACUAUACAAUUUUAUCAUUAUUUUGUUUAGUGGCUGCAACAAUAACUGCCCUUAGACUUUUAGAGUGUUGCUAAAUGUAUAGAUAAUGAUUUCAACUUUCAAGAUGUUGCUCUUGAAUAAUCACAGAGAAACAACAUGAGACCAGGAUCUGUUAAAGGGUCUGAUCUCGCCCAAACCAUGAGAAACAACAUAAACAUCAUCAAUGGCAAUGGGGAAAGUCCCAUGUUGUGCCUUUAUCAUUACAAUUAAGUUUUGUCUGGCAGGCUAAAUUUGAAGAUAUAACAUAUAUCUACUUAUGUGCCUCCUAACAUCUUAGAAUGGCAACGAAACAGAUCGUGGGUCGGACUGAGUUUGUAUAUAUCCAACCGUGAUCCCGAGGUUUAGAACCCAAACCUAAACUUGGUUAGGUUGAAAUUAAUUAUAUUAUCUCUAAAACCAUUAAGUUUCGUAUAACUCAAACCCGACAGAAAACAAAUCAAAAAAACAAUAAGGAAUAACAUUAUUUGGAUACUUCAUUAGGUGAGAAUUUAAUAUUAAGAGCCAGGUGUAAAUAAGGUCUAUUAGAUAAAGAAAAUAAAAUAUGUAACUUUACAUAUAUUAAUUAAGUUCGGGCGGAUGCGAGAUAUGAUAUUACUCAUACCAAACUCAAAUUUAAAAAUUAAAUUCGUGUAAAACUCAAACUUAAUCAAAUCAAAUUUUCCCUUUCAAAUUUGCAUUAGGUUUAGACAGAUACCUAUAAGUUUGGUUUCUGAUGUCUUCGAUUAACAACUAACUCAAGUUAAAAUCCUAAUUUAAAAUUAAUUUUGGUUUAUGGUGAAUGUCCAUAUUCAUCGGCACAAAGGAAAGCACUAAUUAACUCUGCCUACAUUAUAAUUUUAGAAGGAAAAAAAAAUUCAUAUCCCUUUUAAACUCCACAUUUUUUCUCAAAUUUUAAAAAAUAACCUUAUUUUAUUCAUAUUUUCCCAUCAGUUCACCCCAAGUACCAAACUCUGUUGUCUUGUCUUCUUCUCCAACUAAACCCCUCUCUUCGAUUAACUCAUCCUAAAACCUUCAUUUUCGUAUAUUAUCCUCCAACCUUUAACACACGCAUCAUCAUUUUACUUCUCUGUGGUCAUACUCAUGUACAACAGUUGUGUGAUCGUUAAGGUGUGUCGUUUUCUCAUAAAUGCAGGCCCCUCGUCUAUGAUUCUUAAGUUAAUUAGUUGUGAAAUUGUGAUAUAUGACAAUUCACUCUCGACUAAUUAUUCUUCCACUAUACACUCACAAAUACGAUUCUUCAUCUAUAUGUAAUGUAAUCAAAUACCGUCUUCCUCCCAUAAUAAUUCAUUUUAGAGCGAUACAUCUAUUUAUAUUUUAUUUAUUUUUGUGGGGACAUUGUAGUAAUUAACACCGACUCAUAGUGUGCAUUUUUAUGUGUGUCACUUACUCACUAUAUCACUGUCAACGAUCAUCAUAUGAGAUGGGUAAUUGUCAAUGGUUUAAUUAUUUUCGUUAACAAGUCAACCAUUUCUUUACUCGUUUGCACUUAAUUAAUUGCUGAUUUCAUUUCUUCUCAUUUCAUUCAUUAUUAUAUACACCUUAUUACAUUUAAUUUUUUUAUACGUACCAAACUAAUAGGAUACAUAGUUGUCAAUCAACUACUGCUAGUAUUAUACUUGUAAGUAAUUAAAGGGGUCAGUUUUAUUUAUUUAUAUUGCGUAUUUUGUGCCGAAAUAUGUAUGAUUGCGCAAGUAUGGAGCAUUAAAAGAGUCAUUAUUAGUAAAAUCCUAGUUGUGUCAAAGCAUGCAAUGUAUGGAAUACAUAUCACCCACUUAAAACUUAGUUAGGUCAAUAGUAUUGUACAACAAUUAUACUGUAAAAACAAUUUUAAGACGUUUCACUUGCAAUAAUAUUCGUAGACAAUAUUAUUGGACCGAACAGUUUUGAUCUGAAUAAACCAUUUCGAUUUGAUGAGACAAAUUUCAAAUGGUGGAACAUAAAAUGAAAAUUUUUCUCACUAUGAGAAAAAUUGCUCACAUUAUGAUAACCGACAUCCCAUUGUUGUCGGAAAAAGCUGAAAAGAUUUUCAUUCUGAAUGAGUUGUUUGAUGAUCUCUAUUGUUAUUAUAGUCCAUACAAGUCUGCCAAAUUAAGUUGGUAUGCACUUGGAAAAAAAUAUGGUACUAAGAAAGUUGAGACUAAAAAAUAUGUUGUUAGUCGUUACCUCAAUUAUCAUAUGACUGAUGAUAAAUCAGUAGAGUCUCAGUAGAUACAUAGAAUUGCUCGUGAAAUCAUCUUUAAUGAUAUGUCCCUAAAGAGUUAAACUCACAGAGCCUAUAAAUGUGUAUUUGUUAGGUAUGUUGUAAACAGCAAGGAGUACAUGUUUUAUGACCUUAACGCAAAAGUGAUCAUUGAGACUAUGGGAGAAAGCCUAUAUUUAUAAUAUAAGAUUUUUUUUCCAUGUUUCUCAUCUCUCCAAUGUGGGACUUAGAGUUGUUUUUUUAAACUCUUCCAUGUUCCUACUAAUGGUUUUCAACAAACCAAUUCUAAUAAUUCCCUACUUGAAAUUAAAAACGAUUUCCGAGAAUUUAUGUAGUCUCAAUAAGAUUGUGCAUAAACAAAUGUGUCAUGCGACUUGAACCUUUGCAUAGUGAGUAAGAUCCAGAUUUUACUAGAGUGAUUCGUAGUCUUGAACUCUAUCACCAACAUCAAACCACACAUAAUCAUUUCAAAGGUGUAUUAUGUAAAGCUUGUGCAUUAAAGGUCAUGCACGUCUAUCCUAUUAUAGUGAAUGCUCUAGAGAUUUAUGCCCCAAAAUUUCAUAGGAAGCGGUCUGACUUCCACAUUCACAUGGGUGAACCCAUCAAGAGUACUUCUGUAGCUUAGGUACUCCAUUCCAAUUGGAGUAUAGAUGUCAUUAAGAGUUUAACUCAUCCUUAUAUAUGCUGCAAGAAUCAUGCUUCUCAUAAUUUUAUAGCAUGUUUAUUCUCAUAUCACUUCACAAGUUGUUAUGACCUAUUGAACCCAUUUCUUGGGAUCAUCAGUCAGCUAGGUCGGGUUACCAUUAUGAGUGAUCCUCGUUCCAAGGGCAAUAAUCCUAUACUCUUAAAAGUAUUGUGGACUUUCUCUCUAGCCAGUCCUUUCGUCAAAGGACCUGCUAAGUUAUUGUCAUUACGUACAUGAUUCACUCUAAUGGUGUUGUGCUUACGACAUAUUUGUCGUUUCUUACCAUUAUAAAAGCAGUUCUUAGUUUUUUCAAUAGUCGCGGUACUGUCACAAUGGAUCAACACAACUGGUAUUUGUUUUUCUCAUAUAGGGAAUCUCUGCAAGCAAGCUUUUCAGCCAACUUGCUUCUUCACUAGUUGUUGUUAGUGCUAUCAUCUCAACUUCCAUAGUGGAUCAAGUUAAAAUAGUCUGUUUUUUUAUUUAUUAAACUCUAUAUAGUCUAUCUCAUCAUUUAUGCCUUCUUGCCAUAAAUCGGCAUCUAAAGAAGUCACAACUUCUUGGAAAAUUGAUGAAUUCUCCUCCAAUAUAUAGACAAUAUAAUCAGGUCUUUACUCUCUAGGAGUUGUUGCUCUUUUACUUCUUCUAUGUUCUAUUUCAAACAUUUCAUUUUUUAUCAUUAUCUCAUGUGAUUAGUUGAUGUGCCCCCAUUAUUCCUCAAUUUAAAAGGGAAUUUCUUUUUCAUUGAAAUCAACAUCGUUUAGAUGAUUGUUGAAACUUAGUUUGUUGAAAGCCAUUAGGGGGAACUUUUGGGUGUAAAAUUUAAAAAACUCACAAGUCCCACAUAGAAGAAUUUUGAAAAAAAACUCCCAAGUCCCACAUUGGAGAGAGGAACAUGGAAAAAAUCUCAUGUUAUAAAUAAAAGUUUUCACCCCUCAUUAUAAUUCGCCCCUAGUUGAAUGCGUUUUCAUUCAACUUUUUUUUCCUCCCUCAUAUUUUUCACUGAUGCAUUUCUGUCGCGGCCCGAUUUUUGGUCGGAAGACCGACCCUACGACUUGGGUGGAGACGAACUCAAUUUCUACCUCUCUCGAUUGAUUUGGAGUCGCCACUACAUUUUUUGCGGUUAAAACGUAGAAAACUCUAUGGUAAGCCCAAUUAGGAUAAUAUGGUCUUUAAGCAGAGAUUCUGAGCUCGGGAGUCGAUUACAGAUCGGGGAAGGUAUUAGCAUCCCGUCCGCCCGUAUUAAAACGGUACCCUAGCUAAUAACACAGACUUUUAUACCCUUAACAAUUAUUUAUUUAGAAUUAUUUAUUUUUACUAUUGAGCCUGACAAUAUUGACUUUGGUCCUACGUACCCCUAUUAAGGGGAUCAAGGCUUACGUAGUUCUAGUUCGAAAAUUAUUUAGCUACUUUGGUUGAUUGUUAGAAAACAUUGGUAGGUUUUAGAAGUAUUAGUUUAUUGAAUUGGUUAAUAUAUAAUUGUUUUGGUUCAAUGAGACUAAUAGUUCAGGAACGGUGUUGGUCGUAGACCUUCUCCUCAUUUCCGGGGAGUUAGAGACGACUCGAACCAUAACCUCCCCAUAAAAAUCCCAAUUUAGUCGGUAGAAUAAUAUUGGGUUAUUUUUAGAAUUAGGUAGCAAAAUAGGUUGGAGAAUUAUUUUCUAUAUAUAGGAUUAAUAGCUUAGAGACAACAUUGGUUGUAGACCUCCUUCUCGUUUCGGAGAAGUUAGAGACAACUCGAACCAUAACCUUACUAAAAAAAUUCCUUAAUUAAUUUGAUAAUAUAGUUUUCAAUUAUUUAUGCAUAUAGAAUUUGGUGAUAAAAUAAUUUAUUAAUUAUAUAUAUAUAUAUGGGAUUGAUAGUUUAGAGACGGUGUUGGUUGUAGACGUUCUUCUCAUUUUCGGAGAAGUUAGAAACAACUCGAACCAUAACCUCACUAUGUAAAUUUCAUAUUUAAGUUACCCGUAAUAUAGUGUUGCUCUAUUUUAUAAUUAAUUUAGAAUCAUUUACUUUAUAUGGAGUUAAAUGAAAGAAUGGUUUUGAAAUUUUUUACAGCUUUACCGUAUAACCUAAUGCAUUAUCAUUUAUCCAAGACUUUGGUUAUGCAUUGAAUUGGUUUGUUGGAGAUUAAUUAUAUAUGGAUUUAGGCAUGAAAAAGGUUAUUCAAAUAAUAAACAAAAAUCAAAAGGCAAGAAUAACAAAACAACAAGAACAGACUGUGGGAUACGGGUUUUAGAACUUCAAAAUCCCCAAAGGGAUUCCAAAUCCCUAAUUCCUCUCCUUUCUUCUUGCGACUUCCACGAACGAUGGUCCAGGUUACUAGUGUCGAUCUCAUCUGUUCUUCCGGUGACCAUGGCAGCGAGAGACGGCAACUAUGGCAAGGCGCGGUGAUGACAAGGGUGGCGCUUCGGUGGGUCACGUCCAGAUAGUGGUUCCAGAUUCGGGCUCUUACUCUCGACGGUGGUUCCCACCUAUCAUCGCGGUGGCUCUACAAAAAGAGGUAACCAUGGCCUUCGUUCUUGUUUCCAUUAUCUUCCUUCCUUAUCUUCUUUCGUCCUCCUUUACAGAUGGGUGUCGUUUCCGGCGAGCCCGAGGAAACUCUUUCCUUGCGUUGACAGCCCCUAAGGUUGUGAGGGAACUUGCCCCUUUCACGGCAUUGGGGCCAUUCGACCCCGGGUUUCACUAAGGUUACCUAAGGUUAAGAAACUUAAUCCCCCUUUAGCGUCAGGACGGGUUCAGUGGCUCAACGAUUUCCAUUUCUAUCUUGUUUUAAGGUUACAGCAAUGCACUAUUAGCUUUCAUUUUUUAUUAAGUUGAUAUAUAUUUCUGUUGAGACUGGUCUAUAUUUUAGCAUGAUCACUUAAAAAAAAACAUUUACGAACUAAGCAUAUAAAUCUAGUACAUAAACCAUAUAAAGCAGAAUAUGUUUAUUGAAGAUGCGUAUUUGAUUUGGGGCUCAGGGCACACAUAAAAUGUUGUUUUUUAUGGUUUUAAUGCUUACCUGAGUGUAUGUCCUUCUGAGUGUUGAUUCUUUAUCUAUCGAUGUUCUGCUUCGGUGUUGUACUUUCUGCCCUUGUUUAGCACUGUUAUAAUGUCCUCUGUUUUUUACGGUUGAAAUGCUCUCUGCGUUUACUGAGUGUAUGUGUGUCGCUUUACGCUGCUCGUGAAAUGUGAGCCUAUUUUUAGUUUGAUUUUUGUUGGAUGUAUGGAAGUAGUGCUCUGAUUAUAGUUGUGUAUAAUGUAUGACUUUUCUCUCUGUUCUCUGAACGUAUGUGUCUUUUGCUUUAUCUCUGGAAUGCUCUCUCUGAUUUUUCUUCUCUCUAUUGAUAGUUGUACGCCCUUUGUAGCUGUGUGUUUAUGUUGUACUGCCCUUUUGUUUUCUGGUUAUCCAUUCUGAAACUGCUCAAUAAUUAUUUCCAUUCAUGCUGAUUAUGAUUAUAUGUAACUGCUGAGAUAUUUCUGAAUUCUCACCUAAGAGAUAGGAACAUAUACCCUGACUCUUGCUCUUUUCUGAUUAUUCCUUUCAGUUUUGAAUAAUGCUCAAUGAUUACUAAUAAUCAUUUUACCACUAAUUACUCCAUUUAAAUUGAUUGCUGCCUAAUCCUGCUGUUUUGGAAUCCUUUUCUGAAUAUUUGCCAUUUAUGCCUACUGGAAUACAUAACUGAAAAAGGAAUAUGCCAACUGGUGAUGACUUCUGGUUUGCAUUUUUGAAAUUCUUAUAUUGUCCCAGUUAUUGCUGAUUUAUGUGCAUACGUAACUGUUGGAGAAGAUUUUUAUUUGCCAAUGAUGACCAUAAUUGGAGUAGAAUGGUAACUGGCCUUUAUCAUGUAACUCAUGGCUGAUUAGCGUGAUUGCUUUGGAAUAAUUAUUAUUUACUUAAGUGUAUGUGUAUGAUUUGCAUGUGUUACUAAAACCAUCUCUUCAAGUUUCUCUGUUGCGUUAUCUGUUCUGUUAUAAUUUCGUCUCUUGCAAAUGUAUGUAAAUUUGUGUUGUGUUGCAUUCUGCUUGUUCCAUAAAUUUCAUUGCCUUUUCCUCAAAUGUAACAUGUAUAAUCAAUUUUGUGUUAUUGGUGUUGGUCUUCUGCAUUUUGUUGGUGCGUUGCUCCAUGUGGUAUCCAUUAUGCAUAUAAUCGCUACAGGCCCUUAUCAUCAAUAUCAAAUCAACCUACUCCAUCACAGCAAGGAAAUUAGAUUUAGAUGCUGCAUUUUCUUGGCAAUUCUAACCCAUUCUCCAAUUUUGGAUCUUUUUGUUUCAUAUUUCUAGAUUUGUUUGGUCUGGUAAGAUAUGGUGGGGUAGUGGUGGAUGACUUGUGGAUUGUUGAGAUUUUUUUGGGUGAUUUUGAGUGAUACGAUGUUUGAGGUUUUGAAUGGCCAAUGCUAUUAACAAUGGUUGUUGCACACCAUUUUGCUUUAACCCAGUUAAGGAUGAUUGAAUUAUUUGGUUUAAUCAUGUUUUGAUUGUUUUAGCUUUCUGGGUGAAACUAAAAGCAAAUAUAUAUUUCCUUUGAUUUGCAGUGAUCUUUGCAUCGUGGCAUCCCAGGUCCAGGUGUAUACCCACGAAGAGGUGAAGAAUGCCACACUUGGGACGAUAAUUGAUGAUGCCAAUAGCUGUUUAGAUCAGGCACCGGUGAUCACGGAGGCAUCUAAGUCUUCCUUAGCAAUAUAUUUUUGUUAUAAUCUCAUUGUAUCCUAUUUCGUUCUUCCAUUUUUGAUUUCUUCUUGAUGCUCAUGUAAUAUUGUUUGUAUUAGGGGCGAAACCAGUGCCCGGUUCAUGUAAUUUCCAUAUUGAUUAUGAUAAUAUUUGUAACAUCAACGACAAAAAAUGCCCUCAAGAAUAACUUUGUUUUCACAAAUAAUUAGAAAUAACCCGAAAGACG
RNAcentral lists this long non-coding RNA (8096 nucleotides) under Lupinus angustifolius (narrow-leaved blue lupine). RNAcentral's name for it is "long non-coding RNA (LANG_LNC002533)". Lineage: Eukaryota; Viridiplantae; Streptophyta; Magnoliopsida; Fabales; Fabaceae. The record is from RNAcentral.